Molecule: ribosomal RNA, 467 nt
Filed under: uncultured bacterium
Lineage: Bacteria
Description: partial 16S ribosomal RNA
Rfam family: Bacterial small subunit ribosomal RNA
Source: RNAcentral
GACGAACGCUGGCGGCGUGCUUAACACAUGCAAGUCGAACGGGAAGGCCCUGCUUUUGUGGGGUGCUCGAGUGGCGAACGGGUGAGUAACACGUGAGUACCUGCCCUUGACUUUGGGAUAACUUCAGGAAACUGGGGCUAAUACCGGAUAGGAGCUCCUGCUGCAUGGUGGGGGUUGGAAAGUUUCGGCGGUUGGGGAUGGACUCGCGGCUUAUCAGCUUGUUGGUGGGGUAGUGGCUUACCAAGGCUUUGACGGGUAGCCGGCCUGAGAGGGUGACCGGCCACAUUGGGACUGAGAUACGGCCCAGACUCCUACGGGAGGCAGCAGUGGGGAAUAUUGCACAAUGGGCGGAAGCCUGAUGCAGCAACGCCGCGUGCGGGAUGACGGCCUUCGGGUUGUAAACCGCUUUCGCCUGUGACGAAGCGUGAGUGACGGUAAUGGGUAAAGAAGCACCGGCUAACUACGUG